Molecule: ribosomal RNA, 254 nt
Filed under: uncultured bacterium
Lineage: Bacteria
Description: partial 16S ribosomal RNA
Rfam family: Bacterial small subunit ribosomal RNA
Source: RNAcentral
CACGUAGGGUGCGAGCGUUGUCCGGAUUCAUUGGGCGUAAAGGGCUAGUAGGCGGCUUGGCAAGUCGGGUGUGAAAUUUCCAGGCUCAACCUGGAACCGCCAUCCGAUACUGCCAUGGCUAGAGUCCGGUAGGGGACCACGGAAUACCUGGUGUAGCGGUGAAAUGCGCAGAUAUCAGGUGGAACACCGAUGGCGAAGGCGGCUCUCUGGGACGGUACUGACGCUGAGACGCGAAAGCGUGGGGAGCGAACAGG